CCGACGGUGAGAGGCGAAAGCUGGGGGAGCAAACCGGAUUAGAUACCCGGGUAGUCCCAGCCGUAAACGAUGUGCGUUAGGUGUAUCGGUGACCACGAGUCACCGAGGUGCCGAAGAGAAAUCGUGAAACGUACCGCCUGGGAAGUACGGUCGCAAGGCUGAAACUUAAAGGAAUUGGCGGGGGAGCACCACAACAGGUGGAGUCUGCGGUUUAAUCGGACUCAACGCCGGAAAACUCACCAGAUAA
RNAcentral lists this ribosomal RNA (247 nucleotides) under uncultured archaeon. Its description in RNAcentral is "partial 16S ribosomal RNA". It matches the Rfam family "Archaeal small subunit ribosomal RNA", at positions 691 to 937 of the family's 1478-position model. The record is from RNAcentral.